Molecule: long non-coding RNA, 446 nt
Organism: Dermacentor andersoni
Lineage: Eukaryota; Metazoa; Arthropoda; Arachnida; Ixodida; Ixodidae
Source: RefSeq, a predicted model, not a curated record
GCCUAGUGAUGCCUUCAAUGACGUCCACGUCGCAGAAUCCAGUUGUAUAAAAGCCGUGAGAUUUCAUCGAAAGCUGUUAUUCUGGGGCAGGGAUAUUGUUAAUUUAUCAUUAUCAUGACGAAUAUCAAGACUCUUUGUGCCAUCAUUUUUGCUGCUUCUGUGGUCAUCGUCUACCAAACCGAUUUGUCAAGUGCGGCAUGUGAUACCAGCAUGCUCUGCAACCCCAAUACAACGGACCAAUGUGGGCCACACUGCCAAUGUGCCCUGGUCGUCGAAAGUAGCGCCACCAACAUCAUUCAAUAUCGGUGCUCAGAUAUAACCCAUCGAACCAAAUAAUAUUAUUAUACUCGUGAAACAACGUGGUCCAUCAUUCAAGUAUGAUGUGUCAGCGUCUUUCCUUGAACUCCGGCUCGCUGUUGAAUUUUUCACAGAAAUAUCAAUAAACA